RNAcentral lists this ribosomal RNA (464 nucleotides) under uncultured Methanosaeta sp. RNAcentral describes it as "bacterial SSU rRNA". It matches the Rfam family "Archaeal small subunit ribosomal RNA", at positions 877 to 1338 of the family's 1478-position model. The record is from RNAcentral. Lineage: Archaea; Methanobacteriati; Methanobacteriota; Methanomicrobia; Methanotrichales; Methanotrichaceae.
CACCACGAACGGGUGGAGCCUGUCGGUUUAAUUGGAUUCACGACCGGAAAGCGUUACCGGGGCGACAGCAAUAUGAAGGUCAGGCUGAAGACCUUACCGGAUUCGCUGAGAGGUGGUGCAUGGCCGUCGUCAGUUCGUACUGUGAAGCAUCCUGUUAAGUCAGGCAACGAGCGAGACCCACGCCCACAGUUGCCAGCGAUCCCUCCGGGGAGGCGGGUACUCUGUGGGGACCGCCGCUGCUAAAGCGGAGGAAGGAAUGGGCAACGGUAGGUCAGUAUGCCCCGAAUCCCCCGGGCUACACGCGGGCUACAAUGGUCGGCACAAUGGGUACCGACCCCGAGAGGGGUAGGCAAUCUCCUAAAGCCGAUCGUAGUUCGGAUUGAGGGCUGAAACUCGCCCUCAUGAAGCUGGAAUCCGUAGUAAUCGCGUUUCAACAGAACGCGGUGAAUACGUCCCUGCUCCUU